Molecule: long non-coding RNA, 147 nt
Organism: Lucilia cuprina (Australian sheep blowfly)
Lineage: Eukaryota; Metazoa; Arthropoda; Insecta; Diptera; Calliphoridae
Exons: 2
Source: RefSeq, a predicted model, not a curated record
UUAGCAGCCGUCUGAACAGAACGUACGUCGUGUGUUUUUGCGGUAUUUUUUUAUAUAGCGGUGUUUUUUAACAAAUCUUUUCAUUAAAACUUACAAAAAAAAAAAUCAAAUUUAAAUUUACUGUUUAAAAUCCAAAAAAAGAAUAUA